This is a non-coding RNA of Entophlyctis luteolus, 72 nucleotides long. Lineage: Eukaryota; Fungi; Chytridiomycota; Chytridiomycetes; Chytridiales; Chytriomycetaceae. The record is from the annotation of a GenBank genome assembly.
GCCUCUAUAGCUCAGCGGCAGAGCGUUCCCCUCGUAAGGGAAAGGUCAGUGGUUCAAUCCCGCUUGGAGGCA